This 516-nucleotide ribosomal RNA is filed under the name Triticum aestivum (bread wheat). RNAcentral's name for it is "partial small subunit ribosomal RNA". Lineage: Eukaryota; Viridiplantae; Streptophyta; Magnoliopsida; Poales; Poaceae. The record is from RNAcentral.
AUGAACUAUGGACUUCACUAUACCGGAUACCCGUCGGUACUUGAAGGGUAUAGUGAUGCGAAUUGGAUCUCUGAUGCUGAUGAGAUGAAGGCCACAACUGGGUAUAUGUUUACUCUUGGAGGUGGCGCUGUUUCCUGGAAGUCUUGCAAGCAAACGAUCUUAACGAGAUCGAAAAUGGAAGCAGAAUUAACGACAUUAGACACAUCUGGUGUUGAAGCGAGAUGGCUUCGAGAUCUUUUAAUGGACUUGCCAUUGGUUGAUAAACCGGUUCCGGCUAUCCUUAUGAACUGUGACAAUCAGACUGUCAUCACCAAGGUGAAGAGUUCAAAGGACAACAUGAAGUCCACCAAACACAUAAGAAUGAGAUUAAAAGCUGUCAGAAAAUUAAGAAACUCCGGAGUGAUAGCGUUGGACUAUGUCCAUACAGCUAAGAAUCUGGCAGAUCCCUUUACAAAAGGGCUAUCACGUGUUGUGAUAGAUAAUGCAUCGAGGGAGAUGGGUAUGAGACCCACAUGA